CCGCAUCUGUGCAUGCAGCAUAUCAAUAAGCGGAGGAAAAGAAACUAACAAGGAUUCCCCUAGUAACGGCGAGUGAAGCGGGAAGAGCUCAAAUUUGAAAUCUUAAAGGGUUUCCCUUUACGAAUUGUAGUUUAAAGAAGUGUUUUCUGUUGAGGUUUUGGUAAAAGUUCUUUGGAAUAGGACAUCAUAGAGGGUGAGAAUCCCGUAUUUGACCUUUACUUUCAACUUUGUGAUACACUUUCAAAGAGUCGGAUUGUUUGGGAAUGCAGUCCAAAAUGGGUGGUAAAUUUCAUCUAAAGCUAAAUAUUGGCGAGAGACCGAUAGCGAACAAGUACCGUGAGGGAAAGAUGAAAAGAACUUUGAAAAGAGAGUUAAACAGUACGUGAAAUUGUCAAAAGGGAAGCGUUUGACACCAGUGUUGUUUUUCUGAAAAUCAAUUAAGGAACUGUUUAUGCUAAGCUGUUUAGACUUUAUCAGCUAUCUGUUUAGUUUUGAGCUUUUCUUUAAUGCACUUUUCAGUUAACAAGUCAACAUCAAUUUCUUUUGCUGUAAAAAAGCUUGAGGAAGGUGGCUUGAGAUUCGUCUUAAGUGUUUAUAGCCUCUUGCCUAUGCAGUCGGAGAGAUUGAGGUCUGCAGCGUAGAUCCUUCGGGGCUAAAUGCAUUUGUGCUAAGUUAUAGCAUUUUAUAGACGACUUGUUGACUAUGAUUUGUCUUGUAGCUUACUCGCUUAUGUUAUUUUACCUACGCUUAGGAUGUUGAAUCUGUGCGAGACUAC
RNAcentral lists this ribosomal RNA (775 nucleotides) under uncultured Neocallimastigales. RNAcentral describes it as "partial large subunit ribosomal RNA". It matches the Rfam family "Eukaryotic large subunit ribosomal RNA", at positions 25 to 644 of the family's 3401-position model. The record is from RNAcentral. Lineage: Eukaryota; Fungi; Neocallimastigomycota; Neocallimastigomycetes; Neocallimastigales.